UACGUAGGGUGCAGGCGUUAAUCGGAAUUACUGGGCGUAAAGCGUGCGCAGGCGGCUCCUUAAGUCAGAUGUGAAAUCCCCGGGCUUAACCUGGGAACUGCGUUUGAAACUGGGGAGCUGGAGUGUGGAAGAGGGGGGUGGAAUUCCAGGUGUAGCAGUGAAAUGCGUAGAGAUCUGGAGGAACACCGAUGGCGAAGGCAGCCCCCUGGGCUAACACUGACGCUCAUGCACGAAAGCGUGGGGAGCAAACAGG
This 253-nucleotide ribosomal RNA is filed under the name uncultured bacterium. RNAcentral's name for it is "partial 16S ribosomal RNA". It matches the Rfam family "Bacterial small subunit ribosomal RNA", at positions 524 to 776 of the family's 1533-position model. The record is from RNAcentral.